UCCCUGUAACCCCCUCUGGCUGACCUUGGAGGUGGUGCCUUUAGGCUGGAACGGGUUGUGGCCCAUUCUUCUUGUGCUAAAAACAGAAGAGAAAAACAAAUUUUGCAAUCAGUCUAUCUCAGGAAGAAAAAAGUCUUACACCUUCACUUUCAGCAGAGAAUGAAAAACUACUGUGGUGAUGGUACAGUCAACUCUGGAAAAAUUACUGUAUAUUUUGGAAGCUAACCCUGAGCAAUCAGGAAAUUACCUUCAGUUGUGGUCUAGCAGUUGAACCCAAAACUUGAAUUCUCUCCUAAAUCAGCUAGUGGAUUGUGAA
Molecule: long non-coding RNA, 316 nt
Organism: Neopelma chrysocephalum (saffron-crested tyrant-manakin)
Lineage: Eukaryota; Metazoa; Chordata; Aves; Passeriformes; Pipridae
Exons: 3
Source: RefSeq, a predicted model, not a curated record